This 73-nucleotide small RNA is filed under the name uncultured Buttiauxella sp. RNAcentral describes it as "PyrD leader". It matches the Rfam family "PyrD leader". The record is from RNAcentral. Lineage: Bacteria; Pseudomonadati; Pseudomonadota; Gammaproteobacteria; Enterobacterales; Enterobacteriaceae.
AUUCCAUUCAGGGGCGGGAUAGAUAAUAAUACGGCCCCGGUUUGCACACCGGAAUCCAGGAGAGUUCAUGUAC